This 400-nucleotide ribosomal RNA is filed under the name uncultured bacterium. RNAcentral's name for it is "bacterial SSU rRNA". It matches the Rfam family "Bacterial small subunit ribosomal RNA", at positions 356 to 773 of the family's 1533-position model. The record is from RNAcentral.
GGGGAAUAUUGCACAAUGGGGGAAACCCUGAUGCAGCGACGCCGCGUGAAGGAUGAAGUAUUUCGGUAUGUAAACUUCUAUCAGCAGGGAAGAAGAUGACGGUACCUGACUAAGAAGCCCCGGCUAACUACGUGCCAGCAGCCGCGGUAAUACGUAGGGGGCAAGCGUUAUCCGGAUUUACUGGGUGUAAAGGGAGCGUAGACGGCGAUGCAAGCCAGAUGUGAAAGCCCGGGGCUCAACCCCGGGACUGCAUUUGGAAGUGCGUGGCUGGAGUGUCGGAGAGGCAGGCGGAAUUCCUAGUGUAGCGGUGAAAUGCGUAGAUAUUAGGAGGAACACCAGCGGCGAAGGCGGCCUGCUGGACGAUGACUGACGUUGAGGCUCGAAAGCGUGGGGAGCAAAC